CCCGCCUGAUCGCUGAAUCCCCGCGCGUGCGGGGAGCGGGGGAACCACUUUCCUGGGGCGAAUCGCACCGAGGCUCCGACGGAGGUCGGAGGGGAGGAUGCGUAGGGGCACGCUUCGGCGCCCCGAGUCCGUCAGCUAACCUCGUAAGCGUGGCUGAGGCGGUGG
RNAcentral lists this small RNA (165 nucleotides) under Symbiobacterium thermophilum. RNAcentral describes it as "c-di-AMP sequence". It matches the Rfam family "c-di-AMP riboswitch aptamer (ydaO/yuaA leader)". From Rfam's summary of the family: This family represents a conserved RNA structure found upstream of the ydaO and yuaA genes in Bacillus subtilis and related genes in other bacteria. Lineage: Bacteria; Bacillati; Bacillota; Clostridia; Eubacteriales; Symbiobacteriaceae. The record is from RNAcentral.